RNAcentral lists this ribosomal RNA (253 nucleotides) under uncultured bacterium. Its description in RNAcentral is "partial 16S ribosomal RNA". It matches the Rfam family "Bacterial small subunit ribosomal RNA", at positions 524 to 776 of the family's 1533-position model. The record is from RNAcentral.
UACGUAGGGGGCAAGCGUUGUCCGGAAUCAUUGGGCGUAAAGCGCGUGUAGGCGGUUACGUAAGUCUGCUGUGAAAGUCGGAGGCUCAACCUUCGAAAGCCGGUGGAUACUGCGUGACUAGAGUACGGAAGAGGAGAGUGGAAUUCCUGGUGUAGCGGUGAAAUGCGCAGAUAUCAGGAGGAACACCGGUGGCGAAGGCGGAUCUCUGGGCCAUUACUGACGCUGAGGAGCGAAAGCGUGGGGAGCGAGCAGG